UCCCUGGUAGUAUAUCGGUUAGUACACGCGCCUGUCAUUCAUUUGCGAUCCAGAAAGCUGUCGCGCGAAAGCUGGGUUCGACUCCCAGCCAGGGAG
Molecule: non-coding RNA, 96 nt
Organism: Stygiomarasmius scandens
Lineage: Eukaryota; Fungi; Basidiomycota; Agaricomycetes; Agaricales; Campanellaceae
Source: the annotation of a GenBank genome assembly